ACUCAACACUUAUCAACCUGAAUAUUCUUACACAUCUGCUGGACGGAGUAGCUGAAGGAGGUGUGCAUUCUGGGGCCCAGCAGUCAAAAUGAGUUCUAAUCAAACUCCCUUCACUGUGCUGGUGAGUGCACCCAGUGGAAACACGAACUACAAGGCUUAUGCUGCUGUUAAAGGGAGCCUCUUUGGGGCACUGGUGAGGCUGAAAUACUCGGAUCAAAAUUUCAACUUCGCCUACAUAGCCAAUGACGACUAUGGACCAUUCCUCCAGAGUGUGAAUGGUUUGGCAGGAGAUUCAUC
Long non-coding RNA from Archocentrus centrarchus (flier cichlid), 297 nucleotides. RefSeq lists it as uncharacterized. The transcript has 4 exons. NCBI's taxonomy places the organism in Eukaryota, Metazoa, Chordata, Actinopteri, Cichliformes, Cichlidae. The record is from RefSeq and is a predicted model, not a curated record.